UACAGAGGUCUCAAGCGUUGUUCGGAAUCACUGGGCGUAAAGGGUGCGUAGGCUGCAUGGUAAGUCAGGUGUGAAAGCCCGGAGCUCAACUCCGGAACUGCACCCGAUACUGCCGUGCUUGAGGACUGGAGAGGAGUCUGGAAUUCACAGUGGAGCAGUGAAAUGCGUAGAUAUUGUGAGGAACACUAGUGGCGAAGGCGAGACUCUGGACAUUUCCUGACGCUGAGGCACGAAAGCCAGGGGAGCAAACGGG
RNAcentral lists this ribosomal RNA (253 nucleotides) under uncultured bacterium. RNAcentral describes it as "partial 16S ribosomal RNA". It matches the Rfam family "Bacterial small subunit ribosomal RNA", at positions 524 to 776 of the family's 1533-position model. The record is from RNAcentral.